AGAGCUUCGAUCUGGUGCCAGCACGACAAGGAAGCUUUUACAUAGCUCAACAAUCUGGGAUGUUCUUUGAUCUCAAGAAGCCUCGGACCGGGCGUAUGUCCACCUGGGUACCGAAACUUCCCGCCUCGGGAACGCCCAUGUAUGACUCGUUAUUUCAAAUGCUCAGCUCGGCAUACCCGCCGACGUCGGCUGCCACGGCACCGAGUACGCCUCCGCAUUUCGAACGCCUCAGCAUUUCGAAUCCGAAUACCCAUGAUGAAACUUCCUCCGUCUCUACAGAGACCUGAUGAUAAAACUGUUUUAUUUUCAAUGUUCUAGACUCUUGUUUUAUUUUCAAUGUUUCAUUGCAGUACUUUUGUGAAUACGUAUUGGAUUCAUGUUCGAAUCCAAGUUCAGCAUAUGUCAUACUGCUCUUAUGAACUGAACUCAGUGGCAGGGCCUUCUAAUUCUCGUGGUAAUAUGUUGCUCAGUAAAGUUGACUUGAUGUUUCAUGACAUUAGCAGUGAGGAAGUUUAAUAUUUAAGAAUAUGACUACAUAAGCAAUUACCAUCGCCCGACUUUUAGCACAAUUAAAAGCCGAUGGAUAUACAUAAUGGUGGCGCAGGGAAGUCCUAAUCUGAGAGCAUAUGCUCAUGAGAAAUGCGGUAUGCACUAGAAAGUACAUUGAAAUUUGGUUACUAAAUGACAUGAUAACUGAUUAUUGUUGGAUGAAAUAUGUUCACCGGACCCUACUCUUUAGAUAUUUGGUAAUUCAUAAUUAAAGCAGCUCAUAUGAGCUGGUAAAUCAUUUAGUAAAAGAAUAUCACAGCAAAUACUUUGUACCCUAACAUUGCUUUAUGUCCAUAUAAAGUGAGCUUGACUCAUUUAGCGUGAAACAAUACUCUCAGUAAAAUACCUAACACCGACUUGUGACACCUAAAGCUACACAUGAUAAAAUUUCUAUUCUCUGGUCUUCGAAACAGAUUUGGAACAGAAAUCCGUUUGGUAAUGUAAUUUGAUUUUUCUAUUUCUAGAACAAAUUUCUAUUCCAUAAAUUGAUUUGAAGGAGAAACCUGAAGUUAAAAUUUUUAACUUCUCAAAAUCCGUUUGGUAAUAUAAUUUGAUUUUUCUAUUUCUAGAACAAAUUUCUAUUCCAUAAAUUGAUUUGAAGGAGAAACCUGAAGUUAAAAUUUUUAACUUCUCAAUUUCUAGUAAGAAAUUAAUUUCCGUUCUAGAAAUUUUGUUGUGCGCACCAUAAAAGAUUAGGUUUGUUGACUUUUAGUCAAUUAAUGGAUUUGAGAACCUCUGCCCCAUAGAGGCAGGCAAAAGCAUUUGGAACAAUUCUGCUUGACACCUUUUUUCAUGUUUGUCGGUACCCGCUGACAACUUAAAACACAUGAAACCAAAAAUAUUGGCCCCGGAGGUUUCCGUGCAUUCUUUUUACCUUGUCGAUGCGCAUGCCACUUGCCGGCUGGAGAAGAUGACUCACUUGCAGUUCAGGUGCCUAAAGUAUUAAACAAAAACCAAACCAAAGAAUCCUUGCUUGUCAAGUUGGUUGACAGAUAAUGCAUUUGAAGGAUCCAUGAAGACCAUAUAGCCCAUAGAAAAUAUUAGGUACCCUAAGAGUGCCACACAAUUUUUGUUCUGAAUUAUUCAGAGCAUGACACAUGUCCAUCUCUCUUCCACAUCAUCCCACUCUCUCAUUUGUAGUCCCUCUUUGUUAAUGCUUUGACGCUCUCUCUCCUCUGCUCUCCUCUGUAGACGGUCUCUCUCCUCUCUCUCCUCUAUGUCUCUCGCUUCCAUCACCCCUCAUCAAGUGAAACGCGAUGCCAACGGCCCUCCACCUUUAAUGGUUGCCUCCGUUGCCCCCGACUUUGACGCCAACGCAGCCUCUGCCUCCUCUCUUGAACCCGACUCUGACACCAACACCCCUUUGCCUCCCUCUUGCUACCUCUAGUCCUCUCUCUCUCUCUCUCUCUCUCUCUCUCUCGUCCUCAAAGUCGCGUCUCUCUUCCAGCAAACCACAAUGCUGACGCCCCUCUGCCAGUUGCCUCCGUCGCCCUCGACUCAGACACCAACGCCUCUACCUCUGCUUCUGCCUCCACUUACGUGCCUAAUGCCAACGAACCCUUGCUCGCGUUUUGACCUUCCUCUCUGCAAACGAAGGUCGCUCUGCUCACUCUUUCUCUCUUUCCUCCACAAAGCACCCCUGCUCUUGAACGCGGACGCCGCCGACGCCGUUGCCUCCCACCAUUGCCUUCCCAAGCCCCACUGAUAGAGAGAUUGUCUGCAAUUUUGUUCUCAGCAAUUUUUUUUUCCCCGCAACGGAAGAGAGAACGGGGAGAGAGAUAGUUUGCAGAGGAGAGAGAGCGUUAGAGCAGUGGGCCAGGGACUAUGGAAGAGAAGAGAGAGUGGGAUGGCGUGGGAGAGAGACGAACAUGUGUCAUGCUUUGAAUGGUUUAGAGUAAAAAUUGGGUGGCACUCUUAGGGUACCUAAUAUUUUCUCAUCAUUCUAUACAACCACCUUGACACGAAUUAUGAGAGGGUAGAGUGGCUUGACAACCUCUGUAACACGAAGACGACAAGAAUGACUUUCAGACAACAACCUUGUUGCAGAGCCGGGCGACAACUCCAUACCUUCUCAACCCUCAGAUAUGUCCUAGCAUUCACUGGAUGGAAUAGUAGACAAUUGUGAUAUCAGCAUAUCAAUCCAACAAUUUCCGGUAAAAUCUUUACUUAGCGCCAAUCCAACUGUAUCUGCAGUAUCAGGACUCAUAACAAAUGAGGGGCCGUAGAAAUUUUACCUAUUCGGGGUACUGUUUCGCCAAAUUUCCCUCUCGACCGCUCCGCCAGAGCUUCGCAUUCUCUCUAAUGAAACAAAUCCCUCACUCCAAUACUCAUUGCGACAAUCUCCCUCCUCGUUCUACUAUCCUCAACAUCCCCAACUCUCUCCCAAACCAUAUCACACUCGUCCUCCAAUUUGCUCAAGUGUCUCCUCAAAUUCACCCGCUUUUGCAGCCAUCUUCUCAUUCUCCCUCUUCACUCUCAUCGCCUCAUCAACAAUCUCCUCUGACCCCCUAACGAACCCCUCUUUCUCUCUCAUCAAUUCCCUCAGCUCCUCGUACGUACCCCCGCCCGCAUUGUGUCCUCCUGCAAUUGCCGUUUUUCCAAUUUCACCGCCUUCAUCGCCACCUCCACCUCCUCGACACGCCCCUCCCCUCUCCUAAUCACAUCCAUACAUCUGAGAACCACCGAAACCUUCUCCAGCAAUCUCUUCGUGCAAUUCCAAUACUCGUGCCAUUUCACGUCCGACCGCUCCUCAAUUUUCUCCAAAUUCAGGCGUAGAAGGGGCUGAACUGGAAAAAGAAAAAACAAGGGGGGGCUUUCUAGUCUUUUCAGCCGAAAGAACCGGUUUCGGGUCGGUCGGUGGAUCCGGACCCGAUGAUUCCAAAAUAAAAAAGAAAACCCUGGAAGCCCUAGAGAAAUUGUCUCCAGUUCACACAGAUCCAGCAGGAGGAGAUGUCGACGAUCGGUCCAGAAGACGUGACAGAAGCGGAAGGAGGAGGAGGAGGAGAGAUGUCGAUGGUGGGUCCGGAAGAAGACAGGGAUCCGAUGAUAGCGGAGGCCGAGCGGUUCGUGGAGAACUACUACAGCACGUUCGACGCGAACAGGGAGGGCUUGGUGAACCUGUACCGGCAACGAUCGGUGCUGAUUUUCGGCGGCCGGAAGAUCCAGGGCAAGGAGGCUAUCCUCGCCAAACUCACCUCCCUUCCGCAGCCGUGCCACCACGAAAUCGCCGAGUUCGAGUGCAGGACCUAUCGCUUGGCACCCGCAUCGGUCGCCGUGUUCGUCGGGGUCCGCGGCGGGACGUGGGUAGGCGGCAAGAAGGAGGAGGCGGACGGCGCCCUUAUACAGCAGGUCUCUCUCUUUCUCUCUAAGUUAUUAUUUCUUGUCUACGCUUUGCAAUUUCUCUAUCGAUCAAUCCAUUAAUCAAUCGCAUCGCGCAUAAAUACCGAGAGUACGUCUCAAGCUCCUUGUCUAACGCUCUGGCUGGCUCUGAUUCUUACCUUCAGAGCUUCGAUCUGGUGCCAGCACGACAAGGAAGCUUUUACAUAGCUGAACAAUCUGGGAUGUUCUUUGAUCUCAAGAAGCCUCGGACCGGGCGUAUGUCAACCUGGGUACCGAAACUUCCCGCCUCGGGAACGCCCAUGUAUGCCUCGUUAUUUCAAAUGCUCAGCUCGGCAUACCCGCCGACGUCGGCUGCCACGGCACCGAGUACGCCUCCGCAUUUCGAACGCCUCAGCAUUUCGAAUCCGAAUACCCAUGAUGAAACUUCCUCCGUCUCUACAGAGACCUGAUGAUAAAACUGUUUUAUUUUCAAUGUUCUAGACUCUUGUUUUAUUUUCAAUGUUUCAGUGCAGUACUUUUGUGAAUAGGUAUUGGAUUCAUGUUCGAAUCCAAGUUCAGCAUAUGUUAGAGUCAGAUUGCAGUUAUGAACUCAGUGGUAGGGCCUUCUAAUUCUCGUGGUAAUGUGUUGCUCAGUAAAGUUGACUUGAUGUUUCAUGACAUUAGCGGUGAGGAAGUUUAAAAUUUAAGAAUAUGACUACAUAAGCAAUUACCAUCGCGCGACUUUUACCACAAUUAAAAGCCAGAUGGAUAUACAUAAUGGUGCGCAGGGAAGUCCUAAUCUGAGAGCAUAUGCUCAUGAGAAAUGCGGUAUGCACUAAGAAAGUGCAUUGAACUAAAUGACAUGAUAACUGAUUAUUGUUGGAUGAAAUAUGUUCACCGGACCCUACUCUUUAGAUAUUUGGUAAUUCAUAAUUAAAGCAGCUCAUAUGAGCUGGUAAAUCAUUUAGUAAAAGAAUAUCACAGAAAAUACUUCGUACCCUAACAUUGCUUUAUGUCCAUAUAAAGUGAGCUUGAAUUAUUUAGCGUGAAACAAUACUCUCAGUAAAAUACCUAACACUGACUUGUGACAUCUAAAGUUACGUAGGAUAAAAUUUCUAUUCUCUGUUCUUCUAAACAGGUUUAGAAUAGAAAUUCGUUUGGUAAUGUAAUUUGAUUUUUUUUAUUUCUAGAAUAAAUUUCUAUUCCAGAAAUUGAUUUGAAUGAGAAAUCAGAAGCUAAAAUUUUUAAUUUUUCAAUUUUUGGCCAAAAAUUGAUUUCCGUUCUAGAAAUUUAAUUUUGUCGUGUGCACACUAAAAGACUAGGUUUGUUGACUUUUAGUCAAUUAAUGGAUUUGAGAACCUCUGCCCCAUAGAGGCAGGCAAAAGCAUUUGGAACAAUUCUGCUUCACCUUUGCCAAGAAUCUCUACCCCCCUUGACACCUUUCUUCAUGUUUGCCGGUACCCGCUAACAACUUAAAACACAUGAAACCAAAAAUAUUGGCCCUGGAGGUUUCCGUAUUCUUUUUACCUUGUCGAUGUGCAUGCCACUUGCCGGCUGGAGAAGAUGACUCACUUUUAGUUGAGGUGCCUAAAGUAUUAAACAAAAACCAAACCAAAGAAUCAUUUGCUUGUCAAGUUGGCUGACAGAUAAUGCAUUUGAAGGAUCCAUGAAGACCAUAUAGCCCAUCAUUCUAUGAGAAAAUAUUAGGUACCCUAAGAGUGCCACGCAAUGUUUGCUUUGAAUUAUUCAGAGCAUGACACAUGUCCAUCUCUCUUUCACGUCAUCCCACUCUCUCUUCUAUAGUCCCUCUUUGACGCUCUCUCUCCUCUGCUCUCCUCUGUAGACGGUCUCUCUUCUCUCUCUCCUCUAUGUCUCUCGCUUCCAUCGCCCAUCAUCAAGCGAAACGCGACGCCGACGGCCCUCCACCUCAGCUAGUUGCCUCCAUUGCCCCCGACUUUGACGUCGAUGUCGACGUCAACGCAGCCUCUGCCUCCUCUCCUAAACCCGACUCUGACACCAACACCCCUCCGCCUCUCUCUUGCUACCUCUAGUCCCCACCCCCUCUCUCUCUCUCUCUCUCUCUCUCUCUCUCUCUCUCUCUCUCUCUCUCUCUCUUGUCCUCGAAGUCGCGUCUCUCUUCCAGCAAACCACAACACUGACACUCCUCCGCCAGUUGCCUCUGUUGCCCUCGACUCAGACACCAACGCCUCUACCUCCGCCUCCGCCUCCACUUAUGUGCCUAACGCCAACGAACCCUUGCUCGCGUUUUGACCUCCCUCUUUGCAAGCGAAGGUCGCUCUGCUCGCUCUUUCUCUCUUUCCUCCAUGAAGCACCCCUACUCUUGAACGCUGACACCGCCAACGCUGUUGCCUCCCACCAUUGCCUUCUCAAGCCACACUAAUAGAGAGAUUGUCUGCAAUUUUGUUCUCCGCAAUUUUGUUCUCUCCGCAACGGAACAGAGAACAGGGAGAGAGAGUUCGCAGAGGAGAGCAGAGGAGAGAGAGCGUUAGAGCAGUGGGCCAGGGACUAUGGAAGAGAGAGUGGGACGGCGUGGGAGAGAGACGGACAUGUGUCAUGCUCUGAAUGAUUUAGAGUAAAAAUUGGGUGGCACUCUUAGGGUACCAAAUAUUUUUUCAUCAUUCUAUACAACCACCUUGACACGAAUUAUGAGAGGGUAGAGUGGCUUGACAACCUUUGUAACACAAAGACGACAAGAAUGACUUUCGGACAAAAACCUCAACUCCAUACCUUCUCAACCCUCAGAUAUGUCCUAGCAUUCACUGGAUGGAAUAGUAGACAAUUGUGGUAUCAGCAUAUUAAUUUGACAAUUUGCGGUAAAAUCUUUACUUAGCUCCAAUCCAACUGUAUCUGCAGUAUCAGGACUCAUAACAAAUGAGGGGCCGUAGAAAUUUUACCUAUUCGGGGUACUGUUUCCCCAAAUUUCCCUCUCGACCGCUCCACCAGAGCUUCGCAUUCUCUCUAAUGAAACGAAUCCCUCACUCCAAUACUCAUUGCGACAAUCUCCCUCCUCGUUCUACUGUCCUCAACAUCCCCAGCUCUCUCCCAAACCAUAUCACACUCGUCCUCCAAUUUGCUCAAGGUCUCCUCAAAUUCACCCGCUUUUGCAGCCAUCUUCUCAUUCUCCCUCUUCACUCUCAUCGCCUCAUCAACAAUCUCCUCUGACCCCCUAACGAACCCCUCUUUCUCUCUCUUCAAUUCCCUCAGCUCCUCGUACGUACCCCGCCCGCAUUGUCUCCUCUUCCUGCAAUUGCCGUUUUUCCAAUUUCACCGCCUUCAUCGCCACCUCCACCUCCACCUCCACCUCCUCGACACGCCCCUCCCCUCUCCUAAUCACAUCCAUACAUCUGAGAACCACCGAAACCUUCUCCAGCAAUCACUUCGUGCAAUUCCAAUACUCGUGCCCUCUCACUUCCGACCGCUCCUCAAUUUUCUCCAAAUUCAGGCGAAGAAGGGGCUGAACUGGAAAAAGAAAAAACAAGGGGGGGCUUUCUAGUCUUUUCAGCCGACGGAGAACCGGUUUCGGGUAGGUCGGUGGAUCCGGACCCGAUGAUUCCAGAAUAAAAGAAAGAAAACCCUGGAAGCCCUAGAGAAAUUGUCUCCAGUUCACACAGAUCCAGGAGAGAUGUCGACGAUGGGUCCAGAAGAGGUGACAGAAGCGGAAGGAGGAGGAGGAGAGAUGUCGAUGAGGGGUCCGGAAGAAGACAGGGAUGCGAUGAUAGCGGAGGCCAAGCGGUUCGUGGAGAACUACUACAGCACGUUCGACGCGAACAGGGAGGGCUUGGUGAACCUGUACCGGCAACGAUCGGUGCUGAAAAUCGAGGGCCGGAAGAUCCAGGGCAAGGAGGCUAUCCUCGCCAAACUCAUCUCCCUUCCGCAGCCGUGCCACCACGAAUUCCCCGAGAUCAGUUGCUGCACCUAUCGCUUGGCACCCGCAUCGGCAUCGGUCGCCGUGCGCGUCCUGGUCCGCGGCGGGACGUGGUUAGGCGGCAAGAAGGAGGAGGCGGACGCCGCCCUUAUACAGCAGGUCUCUCUCGUUCUCUCUAAGUUAUUAUUUCUUGUCAACGCUUUGCAAUUUCUCUUAUCGAUCAAUCCGUUAAUCAAUCGCAUCGCGCAUAAAUACCGAGAGUACAUCUCAAGCUCCUUGUCUAACGCUCUGGCUGGCUCUGAUUCUUAACCUUCAGAGCUUCAAUCUGGUGCCAGCACGAGGAGGAAGCUUUUACAUAGCUCGACAAUCUGGGAUGCUCUUUGAUCUCAAGAAGCCUCGGUCCGGGGGUCUGUCCUACUGGCUACCGAAACCUCCCUGCUCGGCAGCGCCCUUUCUUGGCCCGUUAUAUCAAAUCCUAUCCUCGGCAUACCCGCCGACGUCGGCUGCCACGGCACCGAGUACGCCUCCGCAUUUCGAACGCCUCAGCAUUUCGAAUCCGAAUGCCACCCAUGAUGAAACUUCCUCCGUCUCUACAGAGACCUGAUGAUAAAACUGUUUUACUUUCAAUGUUCUAGACUCUUGUUUUAUUUUCAAUGUUUUGUUGCACUACUUUUGUGAAUACGUAUUGGAUUCAUGUUCGAAUCCAAGUUCAGCAUAUGUCAUACUGCUCUUAUGAACUGAACUCAGUG
This 8502-nucleotide long non-coding RNA is filed under the name Eucalyptus grandis. Its description in RNAcentral is "long non-coding RNA (EGRA_LNC005271)". The record is from RNAcentral. Lineage: Eukaryota; Viridiplantae; Streptophyta; Magnoliopsida; Myrtales; Myrtaceae.